RNAcentral lists this ribosomal RNA (459 nucleotides) under uncultured bacterium. Its description in RNAcentral is "partial 16S ribosomal RNA". It matches the Rfam family "Bacterial small subunit ribosomal RNA", at positions 338 to 795 of the family's 1533-position model. The record is from RNAcentral.
CCUACGGGGGGCAGCAGUGAGGAAUAUUGGUCAAUGGGCGCGAGCCUGAACCAGCCAAGUAGCGUGAAGGAUGACUGCCCUACGGGUUGUAAACUUCUUUUAUAAAGGAAUAAAGUGAGGCACGUGUGCCUUUUUGUAUGUACUUUAUGAAUAAGGAUCGGCUAAUUCCGUGCCAGCAGCCGCGGUAAUACGGAGGAUCCGAGCGUUAUCCGGAUUUAUGGGGUUUAAAGGGAGCGUAGAGGGGUUGUUAAGUCGGUUUUAAAAGUUUGCGGCUAAACCGUAAAUUGCAAUUGAUACUGGCAGCCUUGAGUACAGUUGAGGUAGGCGGAAUUCGUGGUGUAGCGGUGAAAUGCUUAGAUAGCACGAAGAACUCCGAUUGCGAAGGCAGCCUACUAAACUGCCAUUGACAUUGAGGCUCGAAAGUGUGGGUAUCAAACAGGAUUAGAUACCCUGGUAGUA